Molecule: long non-coding RNA, 229 nt
Organism: Podarcis raffonei (Aeolian wall lizard)
Lineage: Eukaryota; Metazoa; Chordata; Lepidosauria; Squamata; Lacertidae
Exons: 2
Source: RefSeq, a predicted model, not a curated record
GGCCUCUGAUAUAUUGGGAGGCUUCCCCUCCAGCAGGAAAAUCCCUGGAGGGGCUCUGAGGCCGCCUUUGCUUCUCCCUCACCCCCAAAAACCUGCAGCUUGUUUAGACUUCUGAGUCCUGCAAAAUAGUUCCACAGAAGCUGGAUUUGUGGUCUUCUCCAAAGUCUCUCACCUGGAGCAUGCACCAAUAUGUUGCCAGAAGAGGAGGAAUAGGCAGAGGAGCCCUAUA